Molecule: ribosomal RNA, 346 nt
Filed under: uncultured Fusibacter sp.
Lineage: Bacteria; Bacillati; Bacillota; Clostridia; Eubacteriales; Fusibacteraceae
Description: bacterial SSU rRNA
Rfam family: Bacterial small subunit ribosomal RNA
Source: RNAcentral
AGGUGGUGCAUGGUUGUCGUCAGCUCGUGUCGUGAGAUGUUGGGUUAAGUCCCGCAACGAGCGCAACCUUGUGUUUAGUUGCAAACAGGUCAAGCUGUGCACUCUAGACAGACUGCCGUGGACAACACGGAGGAAGGUGGGGAUGACGUCAAAUCAUCAUGCCCCUUAUGAUCUGGGCUACACACGUGCUACAAUGGCCGGUACAACGGGCAGCGAAGGAGCGAUCCGGAGCGAAUCCUAAAAAGCCGGUCCCAGUUCGGAUUGCAGGCUGAAACUCGCCUACAUGAAGUUGGAGUUGCUAGUAAUCGCGAAUCAGAAUGUCGCGGUGAAUGCGUUCCCGGGUCUU